RNAcentral lists this non-coding RNA (45 nucleotides) under Echinostoma caproni. Lineage: Eukaryota; Metazoa; Platyhelminthes; Trematoda; Plagiorchiida; Echinostomatidae. The record is from RNAcentral.
GCACUGCUGACGAGUCCCAAACAGGGCGAAGCAGCUGUCCAGUGC